CCCUAGAGGAGAAAAGAUUGUUACUAAAGCUGUUGGACUUUCUCGCAGAAAAUCAGUUGGGGAGGUGGGUGGGAAGGGAAGGAUGUGUGUUCUCAUUAAAGAAUUCCUCAGAUGUUUUCUUUAGGUCCUCUUAACUCUUCAUGAAUCUGUCACUGGGGAGCGUUUCCAGCCGAUGCAUGAAAAGUUAAGACUAUUGCCAUUGGUAUAAUAGGCAAACUCGGAGGACGCUCUUCCUCGGGCAGAGGAAGAGUAGGAGCUGAUGUCUCCUGAUCCUUGCAGUGGACACAUUUGAUUGCAUUUAAUCCUUGACUUUUUUUCCUGGUUUAAAUGAGUGGGUCAGGAGUAGCUGCAGUGAGUAUGAGACCCCGUGGGACUAAUGAGAUUACUUGCACGUGUUCAUAUCUGCAACAUCUGGACUACAAUCUCCAGAUCCUCCAGGCCUGCCUGCUUGUGAGCAGGCCUGAUUUAGUGCAGCCUGUGAUAUGAGAGAUCCCAGACCUGGCGCUUGGAAUGAACUUGCUUAAAAGUAACCUUGCAAACACUUAAUUAAAAGGAGAACCUGAACUCCAUAAAGACUCAGGAGUCUGCAUGGGGGCAGGUCACCUUUUAAUAUGACCUAAUAUCGAAGUGUUUUGUUUAGUUACAGCAUGUAAUCUAGUAUCUCGACAAUUACAAAUGUGGAUAUUUGCUCAGUUUGAAACUAAGAUAUACAAAGUGAUGAGAGCUGCUGCAUGUAAUAAAAAGCCUAAUACGCUUUCAAAUCUAGCAUAAGCAAAUUGAAAUUCAGCCAGUGAAGCCCCUGGGGUUGCCACGAUUUGCACUAGCAGCAGAUCCGGCCCCGGUUUGGCAGUCUUAAAACCAGCCCCAGUUAGGAAAGGAAACAACAGUACAGCCCCCAGAGAUCCUGUUUUUAGCUGCGCGGGAGCAUUGUUCCCGCCGUCAUCUGCGAGGGCUGAGGCUCCAAGUGGGAAGGGAAGCAGUGUGCCGCUAAGGAUUUGGGUUAUGUGACAAACAAGACGUCCUGAAAUUUUCCUUUGCUGUAGAUCUUGCAAAAUCUUUCUGGGGGCAUGUGCGCAGGGGAAAGGCUGGGCGCUUCCUCGCUGCUUUGCUCUGCCCUUAGCUUCCCUGCAGUGCUGCUCACCCGUUUCGGUUCCUCAUAUCGCAUGGCUUUCUCAGGGGAAGUUUCAUCUCUGCUCUUUUCUCAGGGAUAUCGUUUGAGCUCCUUGCGCCCUUCAGCCAGAGGCACAGAGCCAAAAAGCCACGUUGCUGCUGAAGACGGAGCUUCCUGCUGGAUGGGGGAUCCAGUGCCGGGGCUCCCGAGACCGUGGAGUCAGCGACGUGGGUGUUUCUGGCUUGGAAUUCUUCUGUUUUGCUAAGUGAUUCAUUCUCAAAGGUGGGAUUGUGUUGUCCAAAAGCCUGGACUGCAGGAGUGAUGCUAACAGAGUCAUUCGUAACAUGUAGAUGUGCAGGACAGAGCCAGUUCUGGAGCUCUGAUUUUUUUUUUCUUUCGAUCUCCUUCAGGAUAUUUUUAAAUGUGGGAUUUUUUUUUUUCUAUAAGCUGUACUUAGUGCUGAAAAAACAGCAUUGCCUCCUCGCUGGCAGCAUACCAGUAGAUGGUGAUUGCCUUUCCAUCGCGUGACGCUGCAGCCUCUUAAAGCACAUGCAGCGUCUGUGUCCCCUCUCCCCUGGCCACAAAGGGAAGAAGAAGGAAAAAAACACUGGAAAAAUCUUCCUGCUGCAGAAAGCUUAAUUCAAAGCUAAUGGUCAGCAAAUUUCAGCAAAGCAGCAGUUUUGUAAGCAAUGCGAGUAAAUCCUUGGCGCAGAAGUGGUCCAAUCUAAGCAAUCGCUGCACUUGGGCUGUGGUCACGGUGUUUAAAUUGCACUGGCAAGCUGUAACCAGGGGAGGAGCAAGGCACCUCUGAAUUCUGGGGAGAUUUUUUUGUUUGUUUGUUUUUCCCCGCUACAAGUCCUGAGUAGGGACUAUCUAGUGUGGAGACACAGGUGGAAUUUAGGCCAGGGCAUUUAAACUCGUGUUAAUACACCUUUUAAGUGAUUCCUUGCUCUGCCCCUUCACCACCCAGAUUCAUUAGGGCUGGACUUGUGUAUGCUGGUUGCUGCAAGCUCUUUUGUAAUCUGGGAUUAUGUGGGGGUUUUUUCCUUUGCCAUUUGUGUUGCCUCUGGAAGUAAAAUAUACUGUUUCCUUAGCUUGCCUGUGACUUGCUCAAAUGACGUUUGUUCUGUCUCGUUCCAUUUUGGGUUUGUUUUCCAGAAUGGCAGAAGCAUCCAGCAAAUGUUGGCAGACAAGCAGUUAGGAACGAGCCAUCAAACUUUUCACCUCUGGGCUUUCAAUCAGGGUGGCUGCCUCCAGGCUUAAGGGCUUUCAGUUAAGCAGAUUUGUAGAUUCAAAAGCCUUCCUUGGAUGCAUGCGGGUAAGGGAGAGAACCAGAAGUAUGUUUUCUCGCUGGCCGGAGAGAUGAUGGUUGUGGUGGGUACGUGUUAUACGUAAUGCAAGAGUUACCUGUUAGAGGGGGCCCGCCGAUGGCUGCUAUCCCAGCAAAGAAGGCAGAAAAUCCCAAGUAGCUGUGGAGUUUUUGUACACCAACUAGAUCUACCUGUUUUUAUAAAAACCAAAUUGAUAAUUAUUGGUAUAAUGUAUGUGAGUGCUCAAGCACAGAAGGUUUUUCUGGGGAGCCGCGUCUUCAGCAGCCAUACAGUGUUUUAAAGGACCUUGCCCCUAUGGAUCUGGCUCAGCCUUGCAUCUCUUCGCAUCCUUAAGGUCAGUACUGAAAUUACUAGGAUUUCUGUCUUUCAGCUGUCUGGGCAUCUUGAAACUGGUAAAGGCUUCAAAGUCUUUGAGGAAGGUAUUUUAAACUCUGAAUGUGGAAUUGUAAGGAAGAUGCCUUCCUAUCUGAAUCCUGCCAGUGCAGUCUGCCUGACCUGGUUUGUAUGCGUGACAGAUAAUUUUGUGAUCUGGCCUGAUAGUCACGACCCUCUGUCUGAGCAUUGGUGCUUGAGAUAGCAAAUGAACGGAGUUAGUGGGUCCGUUCUGGUUCCUGUGUGGCUGAGCAUGAUCUGUGAGCUGCAGCAAGCUCGUGUAGAAAGGAGGAUUUGGGAGGCGAUUAGCUGAGUCAGGUCGCUAGAAGUCUGCAAUAAACUCCCAGUAUUUCUGUUGUCUGGCCUGGGAAUACCAGUAGGGAGCUUUGGGGCUCUGCGGUGGCUUGAACUGGGAAGCCUGGAGGGCAGAGCCCUCUUGGGCAAGUCUGCAACAGCCAGCUUUGUGAAAGGGGUUUGGGGUAUUGUGGAGUAUUGCUGGAUACACGGGAUAUUAACUUUUUAAUGAAAUUUCCUACUCACCAGCACAGGGAGCACCAGAGCCAGGAAUCCACCGCAGAAAAUGGCGAAGGCUACCACGUAGGCCAUGAGUAACGGGAACGUCGUGGCCAGGGGACAGAGCAGGUUCGUGAUGCCGCACAGCACGAGGUAAGUCACGUGGUAGUGGUACUUCUUGGUCCAGUUCUGGUCGGCAAUCCAGCCGGAGAGCAGCUGGCUGACCAUCUCCGUGAUGCCUGGUGGGAAAGCAGAGUUCACUGGAACGUCAGAAGAAGACUUUUUUUUUUUUUGUUGCUGCUCUGUGAUGCACUACGUUGUUCUGAAAUGCAUCCCGAUUCUGCCCGCUGUGUGCAUUAAGGAUGUGACCACAAAGGACUGAAAAGCUGAGAAGUUACAGGAAGGCAUUUUUGGGCUGUUAUAAAAUUCAUGCCUUUUUUUUUUUUUCCCCUCCCUCCUUGCCUUGGUGCCUGCUAUUGCCAAAUGCCUAUGGGUGCAUGAAAGUGGUCUGUAAAAAUCCGAUUAAGGGCUGUGCAGUCAGCAUAAACUUCUGAAAGGCCCUUCAGUAAAAAUAGGAAAGAUCAGUUCGUCACUCUUUAUCUUUUUUAAGAUAAACGAAAAGCAGAAUAUUAAGAAUUAUGCUUACAGCUAUUUUAAUUUUUAUGAAGACUCCAAAAAGGACAGAAGCCCAAUGUUUUUUAAAGGAUAGACAAACUUUUUUUUUAACACUUUUGGAUAUGUAUUUAUAGACUAAAUAUCAGAGGAGUGUUAACUGUCAGCUAAUACCUUGCUGACCUCUGUCCCUCCUACUCUUAAUUCAAAAUGUCACCUGCAGAUGAAUUGCUGUGCUUUCCAUCUAGAUUCCUUGACAACAUACCUCAUUUCUAAAUAUUAUACCGCCAUGUGGAAGUAAAAUUUAUUUUUGUACAAUAAAAUAUUUUACAAUGA
Molecule: long non-coding RNA, 4275 nt
Organism: Dromaius novaehollandiae (emu)
Lineage: Eukaryota; Metazoa; Chordata; Aves; Casuariiformes; Dromaiidae
Exons: 2
Source: RefSeq, a predicted model, not a curated record